This 435-nucleotide ribosomal RNA is filed under the name uncultured bacterium. RNAcentral's name for it is "partial 16S ribosomal RNA". It matches the Rfam family "Bacterial small subunit ribosomal RNA", at positions 29 to 507 of the family's 1533-position model. The record is from RNAcentral.
AGCGAACGCUGGCGGCAGGCUUAACACAUGCAAGUCGAGCGGGCGUAGCAAUACGUCAGCGGCAGACGGGUGAGUAACGCGUGGGAACGUACCUUUUGGUUCGGAACAACACAGGGAAACUUGUGCUAAUACCGGAUAAGCCCUUACGGGGAAAGAUUUAUCGCCGAAAGAUCGGCCCGCGUCUGAUUAGCUAGUUGGUGAGGUAACGGCUCACCAAGGCGACGAUCAGUAGCUGGUCUGAGAGGAUGAUCAGCCACAUUGGGACUUAGACACGGCCCAAACUCCUACGGGAGGCAGCAGUGGGGAAUAUUGGACAAUGGGGGCAACCCUGAUCCAGCCAUGCCGCGUGAGUGAUGAAGGCCCUAGGGUUGUAAAGCUCUUUUGUGCGGGAAGAUAAUGACGGUACCGCAAGAAUAAGCCCCGGCUAACUUCGUG